This 946-nucleotide long non-coding RNA is filed under the name Gigantopelta aegis. RNAcentral describes it as "uncharacterized LOC121379406". The record is from RNAcentral. Lineage: Eukaryota; Metazoa; Mollusca; Gastropoda; Neomphalida; Peltospiridae.
CUUUGAAUACGUCUUAUUUUGCCCCAAAAAGGGCGAUUUCACUGAGAUAUUGAUAGAUAUAUAUAGUAAUAUAAUAAAACAGCAUAAAAAUAAUUUUUUGGUAAUUUAAAAAAAAAAGCAAUUUAGUUUAAUUCGACAUCGAAAAUAUUUCAAGGGAGGUAACUCUGACCCACUGACCCGCAAAAGCGAAAAUAUAGAACUUCACAGCAGGGACACAUUUUGAUAAAAUUAAACGAAAUGUGUAGUCUCUGUGCGUCUAUGGAGAAACCUGAAAUGGAAACGGAGUGGGAGAGUACACGUGGUUAUGAGACAACUUUCAGUAGAUUCAAUUAUACUUCAAGCUUGAUGCCGUUAUGUUUUCUGUUUCCAACUGUGACAGAACCUAGAACAGAAAUGAAGUGUGUGACAAUAAUUCAUAGACAAAUUUAGACUAAUACUCUUUCAUGGAUGCUAAAUUCGGUAGAUCUAGCCAUAAAUGUUUUAUUAUAAUUCAAAGUGGUAUAUAGUUAUAUUUAUAAUAAUUCAUUGUUUGAAUUUGUUUUUAUAAAGCACUUUAUUGAACUAAAAUAAUCAUAGCUGCAUUUAGUAAAUUAUUUAGCACACGUGUGACUGCUGUCUCAUGCCUUAAGUGUUUCAGCUGCUAAAAUAUGUUUUGGGGAUAUUUUUUCUGGAUAGAUAUUUACCUUUCUGAUAUUGUACGAGUGUUUGGACAUUCCUUUCAAAGGUGAAAUAUGGCUACUUACAUUGCUUUGUUUUUAAUAAUGAUAUUGAAGGUGUAAAGUAUGUAAAUAUUUUUGUAAGAAAUUGAUUAAACAUAUUGGCCAAUCAUUGGCAUUCGUCGUGUGAUAAGUUUUUACUGGUUUGAGUUAAAAGACUGGUACAUAUGAUAAGUUUUAUUGCAUCUUUUAUUGAAAUCUUCAAGUAUUCAAUAUUAUUAUGAGUCUAG